Molecule: long non-coding RNA, 384 nt
Organism: Orcinus orca (killer whale)
Lineage: Eukaryota; Metazoa; Chordata; Mammalia; Artiodactyla; Delphinidae
Exons: 4
Source: RefSeq, a predicted model, not a curated record
ACAGGCAGAUAUCGUGGCUCCGAAAUCUUGUUCAUUACUUCACAGAAAGAGCAAUACAAGAAUGCAUUGCUGAGGCCAAAGGGUGGCCCAACACACGUGGCUCUUGUUCUAGGAAGAUAAGGAGGGCAUGCAGCUUGCAGACGGCAGACUGGGGGACAUCUCAGCCUUCAUAAUCACCUGGGCCAAAUCCUAUACUAAAUCUGCUCUCGAGAAGGAAUUUAGUUCUGCUUCUCUGGGGAAGGCUGGCUGAUACGUGGACAUAACUGUGGGGCAGCUCAGGCACUGAGCAAGCUUGCUGAGACCCGUACUUGAAGGCAGGAUGCUAACAGUUCCCAAAACGAUGUGAAAAGGUGUGACUGAUCUCAACAGGUGGAAAAUUUCAGG